CAAAAUUGCACAAUAAGUCGAGCUUUAACAGAAUGUUUAUGUUGUUUUUCCAGAACCGCCAGAACAAGAAAAUGUCCUCGUAGUUCCUCACACGUGUUCUCAGAUGGUCAAUACUGGAACAGGUGAAUCCAAACAGUGACACCUGACAUGAGUUUCCUGCAGAUUUAACUGGUUGGAGCAUCUCAUAACCUGAUCUGACAUCGGUGAACUGCUUCUGGAGAGAUCUAAACUUCUGUUGAUGCCUUGGAUCGAAUUGGCUCUUCAAACUGACACUGCGGUAGACACAGAAGAAACAAAUUAACAUUCAAUCUGAACUAAUUAUUUUCCUGAUGAAAUAUCAGUAUUAAACUCUUCAGCUCUGUUCCAAAUCCUAGUUUUUGCUGUAUACUGUUUGA
Molecule: long non-coding RNA, 395 nt
Organism: Sinocyclocheilus anshuiensis
Lineage: Eukaryota; Metazoa; Chordata; Actinopteri; Cypriniformes; Cyprinidae
Exons: 3
Source: RefSeq, a predicted model, not a curated record